Molecule: ribosomal RNA, 119 nt
Filed under: Pteropus alecto (black flying fox)
Lineage: Eukaryota; Metazoa; Chordata; Mammalia; Chiroptera; Pteropodidae
Source: RNAcentral
GUCUACGGCCAUACCACCCUGAACACGCCCGAUCUCAUCUGAUCUCGGAAGCUAAGCAGGGCCGGACCUGGGUAGCACUUGGAUGGGAGAUCACCUAGGAAUACUGGGUGCUGAAGGCG